This 1863-nucleotide ribosomal RNA is filed under the name Triticum aestivum (bread wheat). RNAcentral's name for it is "partial small subunit ribosomal RNA". Lineage: Eukaryota; Viridiplantae; Streptophyta; Magnoliopsida; Poales; Poaceae. The record is from RNAcentral.
AUGCGGCUGGCCACGGUUAUCCAUACGCUAAUCUCCCCAGCGCAAUCGGCUUUUCUCCGGACCAAGUGUAUCCACGAUAGCUUCCUCUAUGUCCAGAACGGCGUCAAGGCACUCCAUAGAAAGAAAACUCCCGCCCUGCUCCUAAAACUUGACAUUGCCAAGGCAUUCGACAACGUGUCAUGGGAAUACAUACUAGAGCUGCUGCAAAAGCUAGGUUUUAGCGCUAGAUGGAGAGAUUGGAUUGCCGUCCUACUCUCUACUUCAUCACCGUCCUUCUUGCUAAAUGGCAUCCCCGGCCGGCAGAUCCUCCACCGUCGAGGACUGCGACAAGGCAACCCCCUUUCGCCAUUCCUAUUCAUCCCAGCGAUCGACCCUCUGCAUCACAUUCUACGGGAGGCUACCCAGCGGCAACUGAUUGCACCAAUAUCAGGAAGGGAACUAAAGCUUCGAAUCAGUCUCUACGCUGACGAGGCGGUCAUCUUCGCCAACCCCGUGCAACACGAGAUAGAUGCACUCCUAGACAUCCUCAAAGACUUUGGGAAAUCAACGGGCCUGCAUAUAAACCCAUCCAAAUCGUCGGCCCUCCCCAUUAGGUGCGAGAAUAUCGACCUAACGACCGUGCUACAAAACUUCGGGGGCAAUCUAGGACAGUUUCCCACUACCUACCUCGGGCUCCCGAUCACCAUGGCUCGGCUUAGACUGGCAAACCUGCAGUUCAUCUUAGAUAGAAUCAAAGCAAGAUUGGCAGGCUGGAAGGGCAAGCUACUACCCAUCGCCAGUAGGAGAGUGCUGGUUCGAUGUGUUCUUAGCGCCAUGCCAACUUUUGCGCUCACUGUACUGAGAGUCCCCAAGAAGCUACUGAAAGAAAUUGACAAGUGCAGACACGGGUUCUUAUGGAAACAAGAUGAUGACCUAACGGGGGCCAGCUGCAAGGUAAGCUGGCCGAUGGUGUGUGCGCCAACCUCUAGGGGGGGCCUGGGCAUCCCGGACCUGGAUCGCUUCAGCGGCGCCUUGCGGCUGCGAUGGCUCUGGAUCACCUGGGCUGACCCGGAUCGCCCAUGGGUGAGCACGACACCACCAUGCAACAAGGAAGACAAAGCUCUGUUUGCGGCUGUGACUACGGUCUCAAUUGGAGAUGGCUCAACAGCCCUGUUCUGGCACUCCUCUUGGAUUGGCCCAAACAAGCUGGCCUCUGCCUACCCAGCCCUCCUCAACCACUCAAAGCACAAAAACAGGACAGUACGAGAUGCACUUCGAGAUGACACUUGGAUUGAAGACCUGAGACAUGGUGACACACAGCCGCUGCUGCAGCAGUUUGUCCAGCUCAACCGCUUGAUCAUCGCCGCUACCCCGGAGCUCCGGGAAGGAGAGAGGGAUAAAAUUCGAUGGAACCAUGAGGUAACAGGGAAGUACACAUCCAGCUCGGCCUAUGCUAUGCAGUUCCAGGGACGGAUCCUGUCAGUUUUGGAUGAGCUCAUUUGGAAAGCAUGGGCACCAGGGAACAUCAAAUUCUUUGCUUGGCUGUUAUUGCAAGAUCGCCUCUGGACAAAUGAUCGUCUCCAACGACGCGGUUGGCCAAACAAUUAUUUCUGCCAGCUCUGCGUCCGCAACCUGGAGUCGGCCCACCACUUGCUCUGGAAUUGCCGAACAACCAUAGAGGUCUGGAGAAUGGUGGGAGCAAGAGAAGGAUGCCGACAGCUAGCUCCACAUUACUCAUGGCAAAAAUCCACCUCUCCAGCGAUCAUGCACCGGAUGAUCAGCAAGACCCCGCCGGCCCAACGGAAGGGCGCCAACACGAUCAUGCUUUUGACAUGCUGGGAGAUCUGGAAAGAGCAGAACAACUGCACAUUCAGAGGCAAGUAG